AACUUUUAGCAAUGGAUCUCUUGGCUCUCGCAUCGAUGAAGAACGCAGCGAAAUGCGAUAAGUAUUGUGAAUUGCAGAAUUCAGUGAAUCAUCGAAUUUUUGAACGCACCUUGCGCUCCCUGGUAUUCCGGGGAGCACGCCUGUUCGAGUGUCGUGAAAUUCUCAAACCGGGAUGCUUUUUGUUUCUCGGCUUGGUGUUGGGCUUUUCAGUUCCUUUGAUUGGGAUGGCUGGCCUCAAAAGCAUUAGCUGGCUUUUCAUGUGGCAUUGGUUCUACUCAGCGUGAUAAUGAUCUGACCGCCGAGGACAUCUUUCGAGAUGGCCAAUUCUCAUUUGGGCUGCUUCUAAUUCUGGUUGAGCAGGUUCUGAAUCUGCUCUACUUUUUUCAGCUUUUGACCUCGAAUCAGGUGGGACUACCCGCUGAACUUAAGCAUAUCAAUAAGCGGAGGCU
RNAcentral lists this unclassified non-coding RNA (449 nucleotides) under uncultured Clavulinaceae. Its description in RNAcentral is "sequence contains ITS2". The stretch from base 1 to 154 matches the Rfam family "5.8S ribosomal RNA". The record is from RNAcentral. Lineage: Eukaryota; Fungi; Basidiomycota; Agaricomycetes; Cantharellales; Hydnaceae.